UCGGAGGCGAAGAAGGACGUGACAAGCUGCGAUAAGCCGCGCUAAGGAGCAAAUAUCCCGUGAAGCGCGGAUUUCCGAAUGGGGCAACCCACCUGCGUUAAGCAGGUACCAUCCCAAGGAUGGGGCAAACCCGGGGAACUGAAACAUCUCAGUACCCGGAGGAAGAGAAAACAAAAGUGAUUGCGCAAGUAGUGGCGAGCGAACGCGCAGGAGCCCAAACCGGCGAUGUGGCAACGCAUCCGCCGGGGUUGAAGGACCGUCAAUAAAGCGACAUGCGAAGAUCAGGAGAAGGUGUUGGAAAGCACCCCCGCAGAAGGUGAAAGGCCUGUAACCGAAGAUCCGGCGUAUGAGCGAGACGGCACCUGAGUAGUGCGGAACACGAGAAAUUCUGCAUGAAUCCGCGGGGACCAUCCCGUAAGGCUAAAUACUACCGAGAGACCGAUAGCGAACCAGUACCGUGAGGGAAAGGUGAAAAGAACCUCGAACAGAGGAGUGAAAUAGACCCUGAAAUCAUGUGCCUACAAGCGGUUGGAGCCACUGCGUGUGGUGACAGCGUGCCUUUUGCAUAAUGAUCCUACGAGUUGCCGUCCGGGGCAAGGUUAAGGCACAGGAGUGCCGGAGCCGAAGCGAAAGCGAGUCAGAAUAUGGCGCUGAGUCGCGGGCGGCAGACGCGAAACCAAGUGAUCUACCCUUGGUCAGGUUGAAGGACAGGUAACACUGUCUGGAGGACCGCACCGGUAAGCGUUGAAAAGCUUUCGGAUGAACUGAGGGUAGGAGUGAAAGGCCAAUCAAACUUGGAGAUAGCUCGUACUCCCCGAAAUGCAUUUAGGUGCAGCCUCGGGCGCAGUACCGUGGAGGUAGAGCGACUGAUAGGAUGCGAGGGCUUCACCGCCUAUCAAGUCCUGACAAACUCCGAAUGCCACGGCACGAUCCCCGGGAGUGAGGGCGCGGGUGCUAAGGUCCGCGUCCGAAAGAGGAACAACUCAGACCACCGUCUAAGGCCCCCAAAUACGGGCUAAGUUGAAGACAAUAACGAGGUGGGAUUGCAUAGACAGCUAGGAUGUUGGCUUGGAAGCAGCCAUUCAUUUAAAGAGUGCGUAACAGCUCACUAGUCGAGUGAUCCCGCAUGGAUAAUAAUCGGGCAUAAGUCCGUUGCCGAAGGCGUGGAAUCAUGCUUAGUGCAUGAUUGGUAGGGGAGCAUUCCGGCAGCCGCAGAAGGUGAGGCGCGAGCCUUGCUGGAGGGACCGGAAAAGCAAAUGUAGGAAUAAGUAACGACAAGGAGGGCGAGAAACCCUCCCGCCGUAAGACCAAGGGUUCCUGAUCAACGCUAAUCGGAUCAGGGUAAGUCGGGACCUAAGGGGCAGCCGCGAGGCGCACCCGAUGGACAAACAGUAAAGAUUCUGUUACCCGGCGGCGGAGCGAUGCGGAGACGGAGAAGUGACACAGCCGCGCACUGACGGAAUAGUGCGUUAAACCGCGUAGGUAAUGGAGGGGCAGGCAAAUCCACCCCUUCAGCUGAAACGGGACAGUACCGCAAUCCCUACGGGGAGCGCGGACAGCGCUGGUAAUCAGGCUCCCGAGAAAAUCCGCUAAGCAUAUGCGUCGUCGGCCCGUACCGUAAACCGACACAGGUGGUCGGGUAGAAUAUACCAAGGCGCUCGAGAGAUUCACGGUUAAGGAACUAGGCAAACUGACCCCGUAACUUCGGAAUAAGGGGUCCCCUCCUCCGGGAGGGCGCAGAGAAUAGGUCCAGGCAACUGUUUAACAAAAACACAGGGCUAUGCAAAAUUUAAAGAUGAAGUAUAUAGCCUGACACCUGCCCGGUGCCGGAAGGUUAAGAGGAGACGUCAUCGCAAGAGAAGCGUUGAAUUGAAGCCCCGGUAAACGGCGGCCGUAACUAUAACGGUCCUAAGGUAGCGAAAUUCCUUGUCGGGUAAGUUCCGACCUGCACGAAUGGUGUAAUGAUCCGGACACUGUCUCAACCGUGAGCUCGGUGAAAUUGUAGUAUCGGUGAAGAUGCCGAUUACCCGCAACGGGACGAAAAGACCCCGUGAACCUUUACUGCAGCUUAGCACUGUGACCGGGUGUGUGAUGUGUAGGAUAGUCAGGAGACAGCGAAACGGUGACGCCAGUCAUCGCGGAGUCGACGUUGAAAUACUGACCUUCGCACAUUUGGUUUCUAACACUCAGAGAGUGGACACUGCUUGGUGGGUAGUUUGACUGGGGUGGUCGCCUCCAAAAGAGUAACGGAGGCUUCUAAAGGUGCGCUCAGGCCGAUUGGUAACCGGCCGCAGAGUGUAAUGGCACAAGCGCGCUUGACUGGGAGGCCGACAAGCCGAACAGGUAGGAAACUAGAGCAUAGUGAUCCGGUGGUUCCGCAU
RNAcentral lists this ribosomal RNA (2381 nucleotides) under human gut metagenome. RNAcentral's name for it is "bacterial LSU rRNA". It matches the Rfam family "Bacterial large subunit ribosomal RNA", at positions 40 to 2434 of the family's 2925-position model. The record is from RNAcentral.